Long non-coding RNA from Taeniopygia guttata (zebra finch), 443 nucleotides. RefSeq lists it as uncharacterized. NCBI's taxonomy places the organism in Eukaryota, Metazoa, Chordata, Aves, Passeriformes, Estrildidae. The record is from RefSeq and is a predicted model, not a curated record.
AGCAGUUCCUUUCUAUGUGAAUUCAUGGUAGUUCUGUGUUUCUCAGGAAGACUGUAGGAAAAUGGUUUCAAAUACGAUGAUUACAUAUUGAGCAGAUGAGCUGCCUCGGGUUUAUGUCACAGCCCAUCUGCCUGUUUGAAACAGGCUUCCUGCACUGUGCCAUUUCCUCUCCAUCGGGCAGGCAGGGAAAAAGACUGCUCAUGCUGCAUCUUCAUUCUGUUUGACCUUUCUAGAGUGUUAUUUCACACACACGCACUAAAGUUUGCAUUCCCUUCUGUAAAUGUAAUUUUAAUCUCAUUCUAUUUUGGCAGCAGAUACCGUUGCAACAAAAUCUGUUCAUUCUUUAUCCCACUAUCUUCAUUGUGGAAGCUGAAAUACAACAUGUCAGCUGGAGAAGGGCAGCCUAAGUAGGAGGGAGUGGAUCCAUGACAGAGAAAAGAACA